Molecule: ribosomal RNA, 850 nt
Filed under: Staphylococcus hominis
Lineage: Bacteria; Bacillati; Bacillota; Bacilli; Caryophanales; Staphylococcaceae
Description: bacterial SSU rRNA
Rfam family: Bacterial small subunit ribosomal RNA
Source: RNAcentral
AGGAUGAACGCUGGCGGCGUGCCUAAUACAUGCAAGUCGAGCGAACAGACGAGGAGCUUGCUCCUUUGACGUUAGCGGCGGACGGGUGAGUAACACGUGGGUAACCUACCUAUAAGACUGGGAUAACUUCGGGAAACCGGAGCUAAUACCGGAUAAUAUUUCGAACCGCAUGGUUCGAUAGUGAAAGAUGGCUUUGCUAUCACUUAUAGAUGGACCUGCGCCGUAUUAGCUAGUUGGUAAGGUAACGGCUUACCAAGGCAACGAUACGUAGCCGACCUGAGAGGGUGAUCGGCCACACUGGAACUGAGACACGGUCCAGACUCCUACGGGAGGCAGCAGUAGGGAAUCUUCCGCAAUGGGCGAAAGCCUGACGGAGCAACGCCGCGUGAGUGAUGAAGGUCUUCGGAUCGUAAAACUCUGUUAUUAGGGAAGAACAAACGUGUAAGUAACUGUGCACGUCUUGACGGUACCUAAUCAGAAAGCCACGGCUAACUACGUGCCAGCAGCCGCGGUAAUACGUAGGUGGCAAGCGUUAUCCGGAAUUAUUGGGCGUAAAGCGCGCGUAGGCGGUUUUUUAAGUCUGAUGUGAAAGCCCACGGCUCAACCGUGGAGGGUCAUUGGAAACUGGAAAACUUGAGUGCAGAAGAGGAAAGUGGAAUUCCAUGUGUAGCGGUGAAAUGCGCAGAGAUAUGGAGGAACACCAGUGGCGAAGGCGACUUUCUGGUCUGUAACUGACGCUGAUGUGCGAAAGCGUGGGGAUCAAACAGGAUUAGAUACCCUGGUAGUCCACGCCGUAAACGAUGAGUGCUAAGUGUUAGGGGGUUUCCGCCCCUUAGUGCUGCAGCUAACG